UGGGGAAUAUUGGACAAUGGGCGAAAGCCUGAUCCAGCCAUGCCGCGUGAGUGAUGAAGGCCCUAGGGUUGUAAAGCUCUUUUGUGCGGGAAGAUAAUGACGGUACCGCAAGAAUAAGCCCCGGCUAACUUCGUGCCAGCAGCCGCGGUAAUACGAAGGGGGCUAGCGUUGCUCGGAAUCACUGGGCGUAAAGGGUGCGUAGGCGGGUUUUUAAGUCAGAGGUGAAAUCCUGGAGCUCAACUCCAGAACUGCCUUUGAUACUGAGAAUCUUGAGUAUGGGAGAGGUGAGUGGAACUGCGAGUGUAGAGGUGAAAUUCGUAGAUAUUCGCAAGAACACCAGUGGCGAAGGCGGCUCACUGGCCCAUAACUGACGCUGAGGCACGAAAGCGUGGGGAGCAAACAGG
This 404-nucleotide ribosomal RNA is filed under the name Bacillota bacterium. RNAcentral's name for it is "Firmicutes bacterium partial 16S ribosomal RNA". It matches the Rfam family "Bacterial small subunit ribosomal RNA", at positions 355 to 776 of the family's 1533-position model. Lineage: Bacteria; Bacillati; Bacillota. The record is from RNAcentral.